Molecule: ribosomal RNA, 376 nt
Filed under: uncultured bacterium
Lineage: Bacteria
Description: bacterial SSU rRNA
Rfam family: Bacterial small subunit ribosomal RNA
Source: RNAcentral
GUAGGGGACGAGCGUUGUCCGGAAUCAUUGGGCGUAAAGCGCGCGUAGGCGGCCUGGAAAGUCGGUUGUGAAAGCCCGGGGCUCAACCCCGGGACUGCAUCCGAUACUUCCAGGCUGGAGGUAGGUAGGGGAGAGGGAUGUGGAAUUCCAGGUGUAGCGGUGAAAUGCGUAGAUAUCUGGAGGAACACCGGUGGCGAAGGCGGCAUCCUGGACCAACACUGACGCUGAGGAGCGAAAGCCAGGGGAGCAAACGGGAUUAGAUACCCCGGUAGUCCUGGCCCUAAACGAUGAAUGCUUGGUGUGGCGGGUAUCGAUCCCUGCCGUGCCGAAGCUAACGCAUUAAGCAUUCCGCCUGGGGAGUACGGUCGCAAGGCUG